Molecule: ribosomal RNA, 376 nt
Filed under: uncultured bacterium
Lineage: Bacteria
Description: bacterial SSU rRNA
Rfam family: Bacterial small subunit ribosomal RNA
Source: RNAcentral
AUACGUAGGUGGCGAGCGUUGUCCGGAUUUACUGGGUGUAAAGGGCGCGUAGGCGGGAUAGCAAGUCAGGCGUGAAAUACCGGAGCUCAACUUCGGGGCUGCGCUUGAAACUGCCGUUCUUGAGUGCCGGAGAGGCAGGCGGAAUUCCUAGUGUAGCGGUGAAAUGCGUAGAUAUUAGGAGGAACACCAGUGGCGAAGGCGGCCUGCUGGACGGUAACUGACGCUGAGGCGCGAAAGCGUGGGGAGCAAACAGGAUUAGAUACCCUGGUAGUCCACGCUGUAAACGAUGAAUACUAGGUGUGGGGGGACUGACCCCCUCCGUGCCGGAGUUAACACAAUAAGUAUUCCACCUGGGGAGUACGGCCGCAAGGUUGAA